RNAcentral lists this ribosomal RNA (365 nucleotides) under uncultured bacterium. RNAcentral's name for it is "partial 16S ribosomal RNA". It matches the Rfam family "Bacterial small subunit ribosomal RNA", at positions 338 to 700 of the family's 1533-position model. The record is from RNAcentral.
CCUACGGGAGGCAGCAGUGAGGAAUAUUGGUCAAUGGGCGCGAGCCUGAACCAGCCAAGUCGCGUGAGGGAUGACGGUCCUACGGAUUGUAAACCUCUUUUGCCGGGGAGCAAGCGUGCGUUCGUGAACGCGGGUCGAGAGUACCCGGAGAAAAAGCAUCGGCUAACGCCGUGCCAGCAGCCGCGGUAAUACGGAGGAUGCGAGCGUUAUCCGGAUUUAUUGGGGUUAAAGGGGGCGUAGGCGGGAUGCUAAGUCAGGGGUAAAAAUGGGGUGUUUAACGCCGUCGAGCCGUUGAAACUGGCGUUCUUGAGUGGGCGAGAAGUAUGCGGCAUGCGUGGUGUAGCGGUGGAAUGCAUAGAUAUCAC